RNAcentral lists this ribosomal RNA (505 nucleotides) under uncultured bacterium. RNAcentral's name for it is "partial 16S ribosomal RNA". It matches the Rfam family "Bacterial small subunit ribosomal RNA", at positions 29 to 523 of the family's 1533-position model. The record is from RNAcentral.
AAUGAACGCUGGCGGCAGGCUUAACACAUGCAAGUCGAGCGGCAGCGGGAAGUAGCUUGCUACUUUGCCGGCGAGCGGCGGACGGGUGAGUAAUGUCUGGGAAACUGCCUGAUGGAGGGGGAUAACUACUGGAAACGGUAGCUAAUACCGCAUAACGUCGCAAGACAAAGAGGGGGACCUUCGGGCCUCUUGCCAUCAGAUGUGCCCAGAUGGGAUUAGCUAGUAGGUGGGGUAAUGGCUCACCUAGGCGACGAUCCCUAGCUGGUCUGAGAGGAUGACCAGCCACACUGGAACUGAGACACGGUCCAGACUCCUCCGGGAGGCAGCAGUGGGGAAUAUUGCACAAUGGGCGCAAGCCUGAUGCAGCCAUGCCGCGUGUAUGAAGAAGGCCUUCGGGUUGUAAAGUACUUUCAGCAGGGAGGAAGGUGUUGAGGUUAAUAACCUCAGCAAUUGACGUUACCCGCAGAAGAAGCACCGGCUAACUCCGUGCCAGCCGCCGCCGUAA